UUAAGUUAUUAAGGGCGCACGGUGGAUGCCUUGGCACUAGAAGCCGAUGAAGGACGUUACUAACGACGAUAUGCUUUGGGGAGCUGUAAGUAAGCUUUGAUCCAGAGAUUUCCGAAUGGGGAAACCCAACAUGAGUUAUGUCAUGUUAUCGAUAUGUGAAUACAUAGCAUAUCAGAAGGCACACCCGGAGAACUGAAACAUCUUAGUACCCGGAGGAAGAGAAAGAAAAUUCGAUUCCCUUAGUAGCGGCGAGCGAAACGGGAAGAGCCCAAACCAACAAGCUUGCUUGUUGGGGUUGUAGGACACUCUAUACGGAGUUACAAAGGACGACAUUAGACGAAUCAUCUGGAAAGAUGAAUCAAAGAAGGUAAUAAUCCUGUAGUCGAAAAUGUUGUCUCUCUUGAGUGGAUCCUGAGUACGACGGAGCACGUGAAAUUCCGUCGGAAUCUGGGAGGACCAUCUCCUAAGGCUAAAUACUCUCUAGUGACCGAUAGUGAACCAGUACCGUGAGGGAAAGGUGAAAAGCACCCCGGAAGGGGAGUGAAAUAGAACCUGAAACCGUGUGCUUACAAGUAGUCAGAGCCCGUUAAUGGGUGAUGGCGUGCCUUUUGUAGAAUGAACCGGCGAGUUACGAUUUGAUGCAAGGUUAAGCAGUAAAUGUGGAGCCGUAGCGAAAGCGAGUCUGAAUAGGGCGUUUAGUAUUUGGUCGUAGACCCGAAACCAGGUGAUCUACCCUUGGUCAGGUUGAAGUUCAGGUAACACUGAAUGGAGGACCGAACCGACUUACGUUGAAAAGUGAGCGGAUGAACUGAGGGUAGCGGAGAAAUUCCAAUCGAACCUGGAGAUAGCUGGUUCUCUCCGAAAUAGCUUUAGGGCUAGCCUCAAGUGAUGAUUAUUGGAGGUAGAGCACUGUUUGGACGAGGGGCCCCUCUCGGGUUACCGAAUUCAGACAAACUCCGAAUGCCAAUUAAUUUAACUUGGGAGUCAGAACAUGGGUGAUAAGGUCCGUGUUCGAAAGGGAAACAGCCCAGACCACCAGCUAAGGUCCCAAAAUAUAUGUUAAGUGGAAAAGGAUGUGGCGUUGCCCAGACAACUAGGAUGUUGGCUUAGAAGCAGCCAUCAUUUAAAGAGUGCGUAAUAGCUCACUAGUCGAGUGACACUGCGCCGAAAAUGUACCGGGGCUAAACAUAUUACCGAAGCUGUGGAUUGUCCUUUGGACAAUGGUAGGAGAGCGUUCUAAGGGCGUUGAAGCAUGAUCGCAAGGACAUGUGGAGCGCUUAGAAGUGAGAAUGCCGGUGUGAGUAGCGAAAGACGGGUGAGAAUCCCGUCCACCGAUUGACUAAGGUUUCCAGAGGAAGGCUCGUCCGCUCUGGGUUAGUCGGGUCCUAAGCUGAGGCCGACAGGCGUAGGCGAUGGAUAACAGGUUGAUAUUCCUGUACCACCUAUAAUCGUUUUAAUCGAUGGGGGGACGCAGUAGGAUAGGCGAAGCGUGCGAUUGGAUUGCACGUCUAAGCAGUAAGGCUGAGUAUUAGGCAAAUCCGGUACUCAUUAAGGCUGAGCUGUGAUGGGGAGAAGACAUUGUGUCUUCGAGUCGUUGAUUUCACACUGCCGAGAAAAGCCUCUAGAUAGAAAAUAGGUGCCCGUACCGCAAACCGACACAGGUAGUCAAGAUGAGAAUUCUAAGGUGAGCGAGCGAACUCUCGUUAAGGAACUCGGCAAAAUGACCCCGUAACUUCGGGAGAAGGGGUGCUCUUUAGGGUUAACGCCCAGAAGAGCCGCAGUGAAUAGGCCCAAGCGACUGUUUAUCAAAAACACAGGUCUCUGCUAAACCGUAAGGUGAUGUAUAGGGGCUGACGCCUGCCCGGUGCUGGAAGGUUAAGAGGAGUGGUUAGCUUCUGCGAAGCUACGAAUCGAAGCCCCAGUAAACGGCGGCCGUAACUAUAACGGUCCUAAGGUAGCGAAAUUCCUUGUCGGGUAAGUUCCGACCCGCACGAAAGGCGUAACGAUUUGGGCACUGUCUCAACGAGAGACUCGGUGAAAUCAUAGUACCUGUGAAGAUGCAGGUUACCCGCGACAGGACGGAAAGACCCCGUGGAGCUUUACUGUAGCCUGAUAUUGAAAUUCGGCACAGCUUGUACAGGAUAGGUAGGAGCCUUUGAAACGUGAGCGCUAGCUUACGUGGAGGCGCUGGUGGGAUACUACCCUAGCUGUGUUGGCUUUCUAACCCGCACCACUUAUCGUGGUGGGAGACAGUGUCAGGCGGGCAGUUUGACUGGGGCGGUCGCCUCCUAAAAGG
RNAcentral lists this ribosomal RNA (2296 nucleotides) under Staphylococcus argenteus. Its description in RNAcentral is "bacterial LSU rRNA". It matches the Rfam family "Bacterial large subunit ribosomal RNA", at positions 3 to 2297 of the family's 2925-position model. Lineage: Bacteria; Bacillati; Bacillota; Bacilli; Caryophanales; Staphylococcaceae. The record is from RNAcentral.